RNAcentral lists this ribosomal RNA (253 nucleotides) under uncultured bacterium. RNAcentral's name for it is "partial 16S ribosomal RNA". It matches the Rfam family "Bacterial small subunit ribosomal RNA", at positions 524 to 776 of the family's 1533-position model. The record is from RNAcentral.
UACGUAGGUGGCAAGCGUUGUCCGGAAUUAUUGGGCGUAAAGCGCGCGCAGGCGGUCCUUUAAGUUUGAUGUGAAAGCCCACGGCUCAACCGUGGAGGGUCAUUGGAAACUGGGGGACUUGAGUGCAGGAGAGAAGAGUGGAAUUCCACGUGUAGCGGUGAAAUGCGUAGAGAUGUGGAGGAACACCAGUGGCGAAGGCGACUCACUGGCCCGGUACUGACGCUGAGGUGCGAAAGCGUGGGGAGCAAACAGG